Tupaia belangeri chinensis (Chinese tree shrew) is the source of this 860-nucleotide long non-coding RNA. RefSeq lists it as uncharacterized. The record is from RefSeq and is a predicted model, not a curated record. NCBI's taxonomy places the organism in Eukaryota, Metazoa, Chordata, Mammalia, Scandentia, Tupaiidae. The transcript is spliced from 3 exons.
AUAAUGAAGAUUGAUUGCAUUUGUAAUAAAAAAUAUAAUCAUUAUUUUUAGUUAUAUCUUAUGCUAAUUGAGGAAAAACAACUUGUACACACCUUUCUCUUCCUUCUGUCUCCUUUUUCUAAUAGCUAAAAAACUUGAAGAACCACUAAGUCUUGUGACAACAGUUUCAAAGUUGAAAUUUCUUCUAUAUGUGUGUGUGUGUGUGUGUGUGUGCGCGUGUGUGUGUGUGUAAACCAUCGAUGUCAAGGAAAAAUGGAGACUCACUCUGUUUUUCUCAAUACACAUUUCUGAGACUCAGGAAAGCUAAUGAAUCAAUCAUGAAAUAAGGAGAGCACAAAAUAAGACCAUGAGCUAUGCUUACUCUUAUAUUUCCCCCUGGACCUCAGAGAGCUGAAACAGUUAUGGGGGUUGUUUCUUUGCCAGUUUUCACUCUUUUCCUUCCUCUGGUUGCAAGACUGAGAAAUUCUCCAGCCCUGAGUCACAAGGAGGUGUGCAACACAAAGCCAUCUGGAAACUGUAUGAGUACAAAAGAAGUGAACCAGUUCCAUCAUGUUAGACAAGCAGGUUCCUGAAAGUCUGGCUUUAUUCCCACCAAAGUCAGUUCUUCAGCUGAAAACCUUCAACAACUGGCAGCUUGGAAGAGGACUUUAAGCUUCAGUUGACAUCAUGGCUCUGGGUCCCUGGGUUUCAUCCUGAUGGUAUUCUAAGAAGAGGACUCAGCUAACCUGUUCCUGGACUUCUGAUUCAUGGAAACGGAUGCCCUGCACUGUCUGAGGACUCCACACCGAGAAGACCCUAACCUAAUGUGACCCCUUCACCUCAAACUCCAAAAACCAGGAGCAAAAUCUCUAGUCUUUAAA